RNAcentral lists this microRNA (22 nucleotides) under Oreochromis niloticus (Nile tilapia). RNAcentral's name for it is "oni-miR-10691". Lineage: Eukaryota; Metazoa; Chordata; Actinopteri; Cichliformes; Cichlidae. The record is from miRBase by way of RNAcentral.
UGCAGAGCGCUGUCCGAUAAUG